Molecule: non-coding RNA, 139 nt
Organism: Zea mays
Lineage: Eukaryota; Viridiplantae; Streptophyta; Magnoliopsida; Poales; Poaceae
Source: Rfam
GCACUAGAUGAUGAAGAACUGGCUGCACAUAUCUGUAAUGGGCUUGAUGCCGAUUACAAUUCUGUGGUGACAUCAGUCACCGCUAGGACUGAUCCCAUAUUGAUUCCUGAGCUUUAUGCUCAACUGCUCAGUUUUGAGA